Molecule: non-coding RNA, 114 nt
Organism: Danio rerio (zebrafish)
Lineage: Eukaryota; Metazoa; Chordata; Actinopteri; Cypriniformes; Danionidae
Source: Rfam
GUAGGGUAUGGUGACAUGGUUCCUACUACCAUUGGAGGCAAAAUCGUGGGAUCCCUGUGUGCUAUCGCUGGUGUGCUGACCAUUGCAUUGCCUGUGCCUGUCAUAGUCUCAAAC